Molecule: non-coding RNA, 114 nt
Organism: Diplodia seriata
Lineage: Eukaryota; Fungi; Ascomycota; Dothideomycetes; Botryosphaeriales; Botryosphaeriaceae
Source: Rfam
GGCGAGGUGGCCGAGUGGUUAUGGCGCUAGUUUCAGGUAUUCUCUCUCGUAGAGAUACUAGAAAAGGAUUUACUAGUGGAGCAAUCCUCGUGGGUUCGAGUCCCACCCUCGUCA